AAUAGAUACCCGGGUAGUCCACGCCGUAAACGAUGUCGACUUGGAGGUUGUGCCCUUGAGGCGUGGCUUCCGGAGCUAACGCGUUAAGUCGACCGCCUGGGGAGUACGGCCGCAAGGUUAAAACUCAAAUGAAUUGAACGGGGGCCCGCACGAAGCGGUGGAGCAUGUGGUUUAAUUCGAUGCAACGCGAAGAACCUUACCUACUCUUGACAUCCAGAGAACUUAGCAGAGAUGCUUUGGUGCCUUCGGGAACUCUGAGACAGGUGCUGCAUGGCUGUCGUCAGCUCGUGUUGUGAAAUGUUGGGUUAAGUCCCGCAACGAGCGCAACCCUUAUCCUUUGUUGCCAGCGGUUUCGGCCGGGAACUCAAAGGAGACUGCCAGUGAUAAACUGGAGGAAGGUGGGGAUGACGUCAAGUCAUCAUGGCCCUUACGAGUAGGGCUACACACGUGCUACAAUGGCGUAUACAAAGAGAAGCGACCUCGCGAGAGCAAGCGGACCUCAUAAAGUAUGUCGUAGUCCGGAUUGGAGU
RNAcentral lists this ribosomal RNA (530 nucleotides) under uncultured bacterium. RNAcentral describes it as "bacterial SSU rRNA". It matches the Rfam family "Bacterial small subunit ribosomal RNA", at positions 777 to 1304 of the family's 1533-position model. The record is from RNAcentral.